GCCCUUACGACCAGGGCUACACACGUGCUACAAUGGCGCAUACAAAGAGAAGCGACCUCGCGAGAGCAAGCGGACCUCAUAAAGUGCGUCGUAGUCCGGAUUGGAGUCUGCAACUCGACUCCAUGAAGUCGGAAUCGCUAGUAAUCGUGGAUCAGAAUGCCACGGUGAAUACGUUCCCGGGCCUUGUACACACCGCCCGUCACACCAUGGGAGUGGGUUGCAAAAGAAGUAGGUAGCUUAACCUUCGGGAGGGCGCUUACCACUUUGUGAUUCAUGACUGGGGUGAAGUCGUAACAAGGUAACCGUAGGGGAACCUGCGGUUGGAUCACCUCCUUACCUUAAAGAAGC
This 348-nucleotide ribosomal RNA is filed under the name Escherichia coli. RNAcentral describes it as "bacterial SSU rRNA". It matches the Rfam family "Bacterial small subunit ribosomal RNA", at positions 1198 to 1533 of the family's 1533-position model. RNAcentral also lists the same sequence under 3 other names. The record is from RNAcentral. Lineage: Bacteria; Pseudomonadati; Pseudomonadota; Gammaproteobacteria; Enterobacterales; Enterobacteriaceae.